Long non-coding RNA from Lemur catta (Ring-tailed lemur), 2094 nucleotides. RefSeq lists it as uncharacterized. The transcript is spliced from 14 exons. The record is from RefSeq and is a predicted model, not a curated record. NCBI's taxonomy places the organism in Eukaryota, Metazoa, Chordata, Mammalia, Primates, Lemuridae.
UUGAGCCCCGAGGCGCCGGCGGCGGAGGGUUUUGGCCACUUUCCCGGGGCCCGGCGUGAGGAAGACGGCGGAGGAAGGCCCCGCGGCGGUCUGCGUGCGAGUCCGGCGCUCAGCAGCAGAGAAGAAGAACUUGGAGAAACUGCCCAAGCUUACUGGAAAAUUGACAAUAAUGCCAUUUAUCAAUUUGAUGGAAGUAAAUCCUUCAAUUUUGAUCGUGUCUUUCAUAGUAAUGAAACUACUAAAAAUGUGUUUGAAGAAAUAGCAGCACCAAUCAUGGAUUCUGCCAUACAAGGCUACAAUGUUUCCUGAUAGGGAAUUUCUCUUGCAUGUGUCUUACAUGGAGAUCAAUGAAACCUUUAAUAAUUCGAGAAGAUGUCAAUAGGAAUGUGUAUGUUGCUGAUCUCACAGAAGUGGUUUAUACAUCAGAAAUGGCUUUGAAAUGGAUCACAAAGGGAGAAAGGAACAGCCAUUAUGGAAAAACAAAAAUGAAUCAGAGAAGAAGUUGUUCUCAUACAAUUUUUAAGAUGAUUUUUGAAAGCAGAGAGAUGGAUGAGCCUUCUAAUUGUGAAGGGUCUGUGAAGGUAUCCCAUUUGGCAGUGAAAGAGCUGCUCAAACGGGAACUAAAGCCGAGGACUGGGCUCCGGGCUCUGGUAGGAAGCGAAGCGCUGGGAGCGGGGCCGCUUUGAAAACACUGAUCUGGGUGUUUUAAAACCUCCUUUGAGAAAGUGAUGGCCAACUCGACGGAAAAGGCGCCUCCGGACGAGCGGAGAAAGGGACUCGCUUUCCUGGGCGAGAGCGGCACCGGGGCGGCGGCGGACGAGCCGGGCGAACGGGGCUCUCCCGUUCUCCCUCCCGCAGGUCGCCUUUUAAAAAAAUCCCUGCGGUGGCUGGGAAGGAGCCGGGUCUUCACGGUCUCUGCAACAGAGUCACUACUUUCGGCGGAUUCGCGAAGCGGCUUCAUAAGUUAUCGAGAUAGCAAAUUAACAUGAAUUCUCCAGAAUUCCUUCGGAGGAAACGCAAAAACACAUAUUAUCUGCACAAUUACUCCGGUGUCUUUUGAUGAAACCCUUAGGACUCUCCAGGAGCUCCUGAAGAGAUACUCAGAGAUCAAUAAUCACUAUGAGUGCUUAAAUGGAUUGUCUCUUGACUUGGAGACAGCAAUUGAAACCUAAAAAGAGCUUUCAAUUAGAGUAAAAGCAAACCUGUCACUUCUAGAUUUGCAAACCAAACAGAUUCAAAAACUUCUUACCGCAAACCAGAGGUGUUCCAUGGAAUUUCAUAGAAUCAUAAAGAAAUUUAAGUGUGUAUUAAGCUAUAUUACAAAGAUGAAAGAAGAACAACAUGAAUCCAUCAAUAAAUUUGAAAUGGAUUUUAUUGGUGAAGUGGAAAAGCAAAACAAAUUGCUAAUUAAAAUACAGCAUGGACAAGAUUGUGAUGUACCAUCCAAGGAAUUCAGGGACCUCAAGUUGAACCAGAAUAUGGAUCUACAUAUUGAGGAAAUUCUUAAAGAUUUCUCAGAAAGUGACUUCCCCAGCAUAAAGACUGAAUUUCAACAAGUUUUAAGUAAUAGGAAAGAAAUGACGCGGUUUUUGGAAGAGUGAUUGAAUACUCAUUGUGAUAUAGAAAAGCUUUAAAAUGGCAUCCAGAAAGAAAACGAUAGAAUUUGUCAAGUGAAUUACUUCUUUAACAACAAAAUAAUUCUUUUGUAAGAAUUGAGCCUUUUCCCCGAGUAGCCUUAGAGAUGGUGAGACGUGAGUCCACUUCAGGGCUUUGGGCAGCAGCUGCGGUAAAGCCAUAGCCAAGCCUGGCCAGCUACGUUAGUAGGGCCCCAUGUGCUAAUCCUUGAACUUUGAGGUUCAAAAGUGUAGUUUGUUUUUUAUUAAUAAACUUUAUUUUUCAAGAGCAGUUUUCAGUUCACAGCAAAAUUGAGCAGAAAGUACGGAGAAUUCUCAGUUACCUCAUCUCCACAAGCACACAUUCUCUCCGGCUGUCGUCAUCCCAUCCCAGAGUGGAAUAUUUGGCACAAUUGAUGAACCAAUUGAUGAAUUGAUAUUUCGUUAUCACCCAAAGUCCAUAGUUUACAUUAGAGUUCAC